RNA transcript from Mastomys coucha (southern multimammate mouse), 764 nucleotides. It is a transcript of the gene named dnaJ homolog subfamily B member 6-like, with no coding region annotated. The record is from RefSeq and is a predicted model, not a curated record. Lineage: Eukaryota; Metazoa; Chordata; Mammalia; Rodentia; Muridae. The transcript has a single exon.
GGAUUUGUUCCAACAGUCUGAUAAAACAUGGUGGAUUGCUAUGAAGUGUUGGGCGUGCAGAGACAUGCCUCACCUGAGAACAUUAAAAAGGCGUAUCGAAAACAGGCACUUAAAUGGCACCCAGACAAAAAUCCUGAAAAUAAGAUGCAGAGCAGAAAUUCAAACAAGUAGCUGAAGCAUAUGAAGUGUUAUCGGAUGCUAAAAAGUGGGACAUCUACGACAAAUAUGGCAAAGAAGGAUUAAAUGUUGGUGGAGGAGGAGGUGGAAGUCAUUUUGACAGUCCAUUUGAGUUUGGCUUCACAUUCUGGAACCCAGAUGAUGUCUUCAGGGAAUUUUUUGGUAGAAGGGACCCGUUUUCAUUUGACUUCUUUGAAGACUCAUUUGAUGAGUCUUCAAAGUUUUGGAAACCCAAGGGGUCCCCAAGGAAGUAGAAGCCGAGGUGCUGGCUCCUUUUUCUCUGCUUUCAGUGGAUUUUCUUCUUUUGGAAGUGGAUUUCCUGCUUUUGAGACAGGCUUUACUCCAUUUGGGUCACUAGGUCAUGGGGGUCUCACUUCAUUCUCUUCAGCGUCAUUUGGCAGUAGUGGAAUGGGUAACUUCAAAUCAAUAUCAACUUCAACUAAGAUAGUUAAUGGCAAAAAAAAGAAAUCACUACAAAGAGAAUUGUGGAGAACCGUCAAGAAAGAGUAGAAGUUGAAGAAGAUGGACAGUUAAAGUCCUUGAUGAUAAAUGAUAAGGAGCACCUACUACGCUUGGAUAACAAGUAA